CUCCUCCGCCUCCUCAGUGAAGGCACGGCGACAAAAGAGAGAGAGAGAGAAGAAGAAGAAGCGAGAGAGAGGCUGCAGACUUUCCGACGUGAGAGGAAGAGGAGAGGAAGAAGAGAUCUCCAUCUUCGCCAUAAACCAAUCAUGAGUCUGGAAGACGGCUUCUGAAAUUCAGUUUGCUAUAAAAACUCUUCCGAUAAAGAACCAGUGCCACACCGAGCUCUGACCAGAUGGAGGUGAAUGCGGUUAAAAAACGCCAUCGCACACGAUCCAAAGGAGUCAGAGCCGCCGUGGAGGCAGUGACACAGGAGUUAUUCAGCUGUCCCACUCCAGGCUGUGAUGGCAGCGGUCACGUCAGCGGGAAGUACGCCAGACAUCGCAGG
Long non-coding RNA from Gymnodraco acuticeps, 380 nucleotides. RefSeq lists it as uncharacterized. The transcript has 5 exons. The record is from RefSeq and is a predicted model, not a curated record. Lineage: Eukaryota; Metazoa; Chordata; Actinopteri; Perciformes; Bathydraconidae.